UACGUAGGGUGCAAGCGUUAAUCGGAAUUACUGGGCGUAAAGCGUGCGCAGGCGGUUGUGUAAGACAGAUGUGAAAUCCCCGGGCUCAACCUGGGAACUGCAUUUGUGACUGCACGGCUGGAGUGCGGCAGAGGGGGGAUGGAAUUCCGCGUGUAGCAGUGAAAUGCGUAGAUAUGCGGAGGAACACCGAUGGCGAAGGCAAUCCCCUGGGCCUGCACUGACGCUCAUGCACGAAAGCGUGGGGAGCAAACAGG
This 254-nucleotide ribosomal RNA is filed under the name uncultured bacterium. RNAcentral describes it as "partial 16S ribosomal RNA". It matches the Rfam family "Bacterial small subunit ribosomal RNA", at positions 524 to 776 of the family's 1533-position model. The record is from RNAcentral.